UACGUAGGUGGCAAGCGUUGUCCGGAUUUACUGGGCGUAAAGCGCGCGCAGGCGGCCCUGUCAGUCCGUGGUGAAAUCUCACGGCUCAACCGUGAGAGGUCCUUGGAUACUGCUGGUCUUGAGGGGCUCAGAGGAGAGUGGAAUUCCGGGUGUAGUGGUGGAAUGCGUAGAUAUCCGGAGGAACACCAGUGGCGAAAGCGGCCUCCUGGACUGCACCUGACGCUGACACGCGAAAGCGAGGGGAGCGAACGGG
Molecule: ribosomal RNA, 253 nt
Filed under: uncultured bacterium
Lineage: Bacteria
Description: partial 16S ribosomal RNA
Rfam family: Bacterial small subunit ribosomal RNA
Source: RNAcentral